Neolamprologus brichardi is the source of this 355-nucleotide non-coding RNA. Lineage: Eukaryota; Metazoa; Chordata; Actinopteri; Cichliformes; Cichlidae. The record is from RefSeq and is a predicted model, not a curated record.
GAUUGGGUACGUCUGCCUCAGGUGAGAUCAGGUCAUCAGAGAACACGUACUUCUGCCAGGCAGCACGCCAGCUGUCGUGUGUGCCGUCAUCCCAGCUUUGUGUGAAACUCGCCAGUGGAGGAGACCCAACCUACGCCUUUAACAUCCGCUUCACUGGAGAGGAAGUUCAUGGCACAAGUGGCUCUUUUAGACACUUCCUGUGGCAGGUGUGUAAGGAGUUGCAGAGUUCUGCACUUUCCCUGCUGCUCCCCUGUCCCAGUGCUGCAGCCAAUCGUAAUAAGGGGAAAUAUAUCCUCACUCCUUGCCCCAUCAGCUAUGCAGAGGAACAGUUACUUCACUUUUUUGGCCAACUACU